RNAcentral lists this transfer RNA (75 nucleotides) under Parcubacteria group bacterium ADurb.Bin326. Its description in RNAcentral is "tRNA-Val". It matches the Rfam family "tRNA". From Rfam's summary of the family: Transfer RNA (tRNA) molecules are approximately 80 nucleotides in length. The record is from RNAcentral.
GGACACAUAGCUCAGUUGGUUAGAGCGCACGGUUCACAUCCGUGAGGUCGUAGGUUCGACUCCUAUUGUGUCCAC